CAGUAGCCGCGGUAAUGCGAAGGGGGCUAGCGUUGCUCGGAAUGACUGGGCGUAAAGGGCGCGUAGGCGGUUUGUACAGUUGGAUGUGAAAUUCCUGGGCUUAACCUGGGGGCUGCAUUCAAUACGUGCAGGCUUGAGUGUGGAAGAGGGUUGUGGAAUUCCCAGUGUAGAGGUGAAAUUCGUAGAUAUUGGGAAGAACACCGGUGGCGAAGGCGGCGACCUGGUCCUUUACUGACGCUGAGGCGCGAAAGCGUGGGGAGCAAACAGGAUUAGAUACCCCCGUAGUCCCUGUCUCUUAUAC
This 301-nucleotide ribosomal RNA is filed under the name uncultured bacterium. RNAcentral's name for it is "partial 16S ribosomal RNA". It matches the Rfam family "Bacterial small subunit ribosomal RNA", at positions 509 to 807 of the family's 1533-position model. The record is from RNAcentral.